RNAcentral lists this ribosomal RNA (253 nucleotides) under uncultured bacterium. RNAcentral's name for it is "partial 16S ribosomal RNA". It matches the Rfam family "Bacterial small subunit ribosomal RNA", at positions 524 to 776 of the family's 1533-position model. The record is from RNAcentral.
UACGAAGGGGGCUAGCGUUGUUCGGAAUUACUGGGCGUAAAGGGCGCGUAGGCUGUGCUGUAAGUCAGGCGUGAAAGCCCCGGGCUCAACCUGGGAAUUGCGCUUGAUACUGCGGCGCUGGAAGGUGGGAGAGGAUGGCGGAAUUCCCAGUGUAGAGGUGAAAUUCGUAGAUAUUGGGAAGAACACCGGUGGCGAAGGCGGCGCUCUGGACCGAGACUGACGCUGAGGCGCGAAAGCGUGGGGAGCAAACAGG